Molecule: long non-coding RNA, 342 nt
Filed under: Gossypium barbadense (sea-island cotton)
Lineage: Eukaryota; Viridiplantae; Streptophyta; Magnoliopsida; Malvales; Malvaceae
Description: long non-coding RNA (GBAR_LNC022997)
Source: RNAcentral
UAAAAUAUUGUAUAUCUAUGCUCUAUAUAUAAAAUACAAUGUGGAAGAAGGUAGAGACUAAGAUGAAGACUUCUGAAUUUAUGGCCAUAUAUCCAAGCAUCGCUUUAGUCACAAUUUCAGUUUGCAAAUUAAUAAAUUUAAUUAAGAUGUAUAAACUUAUUGAACACUCCGGUUAGUGCUUGGUUUUCAAUGUUGUCGUUUGUAGUUGACAUUUCAACCGAAGGUACGACUUGGACAUAAUGUCGUGUAAUUUGGACAUAUAUAUCGGCUGGCUAGGUUGAAAUGGACAUUUUCCUCAACUUCAUUCUUUUCUCUCUCUUUUUAUCCAUUAUAAGAUGAUGG